UGACCUAUGGUGUAAUGGUAACACAGCUGAUUUUGGUUCAGUCGUUCUAGGUUCGAGUCCUAGUAGGUCAACGA
Molecule: transfer RNA, 74 nt
Filed under: Paenimyroides tangerinum
Lineage: Bacteria; Pseudomonadati; Bacteroidota; Flavobacteriia; Flavobacteriales; Flavobacteriaceae
Description: Flavobacterium sp. YIM 102701-2 tRNA-Gln
Rfam family: tRNA
About the family: Transfer RNA (tRNA) molecules are approximately 80 nucleotides in length. Their secondary structure includes four short double-helical elements and three loops (D, anti-codon, and T loops).
Source: RNAcentral